GGGGAUAUAGCUCAGUUGGGAGAGCGUCUGCCUUGCACGCAGAAGGUCGCAGGUUCGACCCCUGUUAUCUCCA
This 73-nucleotide transfer RNA is filed under the name Planctomycetota bacterium. RNAcentral's name for it is "Planctomycetes bacterium tRNA-Ala". It matches the Rfam family "tRNA". Rfam says of the family: Transfer RNA (tRNA) molecules are approximately 80 nucleotides in length. Their secondary structure includes four short double-helical elements and three loops (D, anti-codon, and T loops). Lineage: Bacteria; Pseudomonadati; Planctomycetota. The record is from RNAcentral.